UACGUAGGGUGCAAGCGUUGUCCGGAAUUAUUGGGCGUAAAGAGCUCGUAGGCGGUUUGUCGCGUCUGCUGUGAAAACGCGAGGCUCAACCUCGCGCCUGCAGUGGGUACGGGCAGACUAGAGUGCGGUAGGGGAGAUUGGAAUUCCUGGUGUAGCGGUGGAAUGCGCAGAUAUCAGGAGGAACACCGAUGGCGAAGGCAGAUCUCUGGACCGUAACUGACGCUGAGGAGCGAAAGCGUGGGGAGCGAACAGG
Molecule: ribosomal RNA, 253 nt
Filed under: uncultured bacterium
Lineage: Bacteria
Description: partial 16S ribosomal RNA
Rfam family: Bacterial small subunit ribosomal RNA
Source: RNAcentral